Molecule: long non-coding RNA, 1686 nt
Filed under: Salmo salar (Atlantic salmon)
Lineage: Eukaryota; Metazoa; Chordata; Actinopteri; Salmoniformes; Salmonidae
Description: lncRNA (ENSSSAG00000092756.1)
Source: RNAcentral
CAUUUUUGUGCUGCCUAGUAAACAGCAGCUGGAGGAAGGUGCAUCAUGGGAAACAAGAUCAGCAGGAGACGGGACACCGCACCAGCUGAGCAGGAGGCUGCAGAGGAGGCAAUCGACACGCAGGAAGCUGUGGUGGAGGCAGUACCUGAUGAGCCAGUGGUGGUUGCAGAGGCGACUGAACCAGUAGUAGAAUCAGUGCCAGCACCGGUACAGGAGGCUGAGCCAGAGCCCCCCAAGCAGCCAGAGACGGAGCCCCCAUUGGAGAAGCCGGUGAGCGCCCCACUGGUAGACCUUGCACCAGCGCCGACCCCAGCACCGCCUGAACCCGAGCCCCUGGUGUCAGUCAGCAAACCGGUGUCAGUCAGCAAACCGGUGCCAGUCGGCCCAGAGCCAGUCGUGCCAGUCGGCCCAGAGCCAGUCGUGCCAGUCGGCCCAGAGCCAGUCGUGCCAGUCGGCCCAGAGCCAGUCGUGCCAGUCGGCCCAGAGCCAGUCGUGCCAGUCGGCCCAGAGCCAGUCGUGCCAGUCGUCCCAGAGCCAAAGCCAGUCGUCCCAGAGCCAAAGCCAGUCGUCCCAGAGCCAAAGCCAGUCGUCAUAGAACAUGAGGCUAUCCCAGAGCCCUUCCUCUGCCCCGCCCAUCUUCUGGACCUGGGUGUCCCUGAGCUGACCCCUGAGCCCCUCGAUGCUCCCCCCUCUCACAGAUCUGCCCCAGACCAGCCCACAGACCUGGGGGAUGCAGAAUGCUAUGACGACAACGUAAAGGCUGCCUGGAAUUCUGUCUCCGUCCCGGAAGAGUCCAAAGAAUCCCCGGAGAAGCCAGCGACCAUGGCAGAGCAGCUUCUGUGUGAUGUCAGGGGCAGUGAGCUGAGCAAAGCAGACUCUUCAAGCACUUAGACCUGACGGCCGACGACAUCAUGGUCAAUGACGUCAAUACAGACGACAUUCCGGAAGGUGACAUGUCCACUGAGCUGAUAUGAGAUGGGCGGAGAAAAUGUAUUUAAAAAAAAUAAAUAAAAAAAAUAAACAGAACAAUGACGUUCUGAAAAAGGCAGACGCAGCAGAAAAAAAAUGCAUUAAAAAAAUAAUACAACUUUGAUCUGAGAAGGCUAAAGGGAAAACUAAGCAGCUUAAGGAGACUGUGAAGUAGCACUCAGAUAAUCUGAGACCUGGGAUAUAUUCACUAGUAACCAAACAGAACCAAGCGUACGCAAACGGAAUGAAACUGGGUGGGACUUACCUGAAAUUGUCCAAUAGAUAUUCUAGUUUCCGUUGCCGAACCAUUUUGGAAUAAUGAUUAGACCCCAGGUAAUACAGACGUGCCUUUUCUUUCUGAGUGUAUGUUGACUAAAGGGAUGUGGUGAUGGGUGGCCAGGGCAGGAGAGUGAGUACCAAUCAUCGCCCUCUGAGCCAUAUAGACAUAACACUGCAUAGCAGAACACUUACAGUAACUAUAUAUGGUAACUAUGUAUGACAAUACGUUUGCCUUGGUGUGUACACCUGAUGAAUUGUAACAACAUUUGAAAUCGGCCUACAUGCUAUGAUGUACAUUCAUGCUUGGACUCUCACAAUCCUUCCUCUUUAACUCUGAAACGGAAGUGACCUUAUAUUUUCUUGAUGGUGAGAAGUGGUUUGGAGGAAUGUAUUAAAGGUGAUGGUCUGGUUGUGAAAAUAAAAUAUUGUUCCACCUUG